UCAAGAACAUUUGGCAAUGGGCGAAAGCCUGACCAUGCGACGCCGCGUGCUGGACGAAGUCCUUCGGGACGUAAACAGCUUUUAUGCGUGAAGAAGUAAUUGACAUUAGCGCAUGAAUAAGGGGCUCCUAACUCUGUGCCAGCAGGAGCGGUAAUACAGAGGCCCCGAGCAUUAUCCGGAAUCACUGGGCGUAAAGGGUGUGUAGGUGGCGCUAUUAGUCUUGCUUAAAAGCACUCGGGCUUAACCCGGGUAAUGGGCAAGAAACGGUAGUGCUUGAGGACGCGAGAGGUAAGGGGAACUCAUGGUGUAGGGGUGAAAUCCGUUGAUAUCAUGGGGAACACCAAAUGCGAAGGCACCUUACUGGCGCGCUCCUGACACUGAAACACGAAAGCGUGGGUAGCGAACGGGAUUAGAUACCCCUGUAGUCC
This 428-nucleotide ribosomal RNA is filed under the name uncultured bacterium. RNAcentral describes it as "bacterial SSU rRNA". It matches the Rfam family "Bacterial small subunit ribosomal RNA", at positions 355 to 796 of the family's 1533-position model. The record is from RNAcentral.